GUCUUCCUUUGGCUUCUUUGAUUUGGCUCAACCUCUGUAUCUAAUAGUUGUUCCGAGACUUUAUGUUAUUAGUUGACGUGUCGGCCUGUGUUGCGGCUACGAGUUAACAUAUGCAGCACAAAGGGAAAGAUGCCGAGCAUAGCUGAAUUUAGUUGGUAUUAUCUGUUUAAUCUUUGCUGCCCCAAUAGGCCCGAGUGAUUAGACAUAUAUAUACCAACUAAAUUCAGUUAUACAACUUGACAAGUAUUUUCCUGUCCGCAACUACACAACCAUUCAAGGCAUCUACUCAUCGGUGGAAACUACACAGCUGAACUUCGCUUUGUAUGUUACGCAAAAAAAAAAAUUCAGAGAAUAUUGGUAGUAAACAAUGGGUUAAUUCAAACGGAUAUACAAUAGCAAGCCAAGGGGUAUUCUGAGCAGUCCGGGUGUAGUUCUCCGAGUAGGUCGUCUGCAGUUCUCCAAGAAGUUCAGGAACAUCAAGCUUCUUCUCAGGAAUUUCGUAUUUAUUUGGAAUGGAUUUUUCUUCAUCAUCUCAUUUCUAAGAUAAAACUUCUGAGUUUCUUAUUAAGUCAAUGAUGUUUCUCUUUCCGAUGUCCACGGGAAAAUUAACGUGUCCAUCUUCUCGAAGGACAGCUAUCAGACUGAGGUAGUGCGUCGUUGCCAGGGCAUUGGAAAUGAUGCAAUUGGUAGGCAUGAAAAUAGUGAUGGCAGACUUAUAUAGUUUACACUCCGUUUGGUAAACUGUAUAACAAUUAUUUUUGGGAUUAAAUCUGAUCGUUUGUCUGUAUUGUGCAUGCACUUAAUUAGCAAAUUGGACUUACUUAUUUCCUAUUUCACAUAUCUAAUGUGCUCAAUGGUUGAAGCAGGUGAACUAACCCGAUUCCAAAAUGAUGUUUUUCAACCAAGGACUAAUUUGUGGAAGGCCUGGCAACAUAUGUUUUGCAUAGCCUUUGUUUUGGACGUUGUCUUACCGAGUUUGUACUCUGUUGUAUGAAGGUAAUCUGACAUCUUUGAUAAGCAAAUAUCUCUCAAUAUCUAAGGGGUUGCUUUUACAAGUAUGGUUGAUGGGUUUAGUUAACUUAGAUCCAUCAACAGAUGUUUUUUCUUUUGCAUCUUUUAGAUAUGGGAAACCUGUUUUUCCUUAAAAAAUUUGUCCUUAUCGCAAUUUCAUUGCAGAUUGUGAACCCAGGACCAUAUUUGCUAAAUGGAUUGCCAAGUGUUCAGAUCCAUUGGUUAAUAUAUAAGUUUUAAUUUUGAUUAAAGUCGUAACGAUUUUUUUUUUCCAUGAACAUUCUAUAAUAUAAUAAUCCAAGUGAAUGUGAUCGUUGUACCACACCUCCUUCAGUUUCCACGUGUUUCCACUUGCCAUCUUAGCUCAGCUGGAAGAGCGCAUCGGUUUGAACCAUGUGGUGGUGGGUUCAAUUCCUGCAGAUGGCGCAGGGUCUCUAAUGAUUACACAUGUUUAGAUAAUCUAACUUGGUUCUAUCUGCAGUACCCAAUCUUAUUACUCAUCACACUUUUACUGAAGUGGACUUCAAUGGAGAUUAACAGGUUCAUAGAUAGCUGUCUCUGAAGAUCAGUAGGUAUAAAUAUUGAUGGUGACUUCUCAGAAACCGUGGGGAGGGUAGUCAGGAACCUAUACUACCAACAGUUAAUUUGGACUCCCACCCGGUCUACGAUACUAUCCUCCUAUUUAGUGGUUAACUAAAUUUCUCCCUGUAAUGAUAUCCCUAUGUGACUUUACUAAUGCAGGAAUUGAACAUGUUACCGCAGGUGGGUUUGAAAUCUUCACCCAGAAUAGUCGCUACCACUUAUGAGAUUCUUGAUCGGUUUAUGGGUAGUGCAAAUCACAGAUUUAGUGAGAUAAAUGGCCACGGAAUACAUAAAAAUCACAGGUUUAUGGGUAGUGCGAAUCACAGAUUCAGUGAUAUAAAAUACAUAAAAAUCACAGGUUCAAGGAUAGUCAGCUCAUUGUAUGUAAAAAUCACAGGCUCAGUGAUCUCAACCGUCGUCAUGUUUAUAUGUUUACUGAUGUUUUUCAUCAUCAGUUAUGGUUAGAUUUGGUUCAAAUUCUCUUGGAACGGAUUGAUAUCUUGGACUUCUAUUUUAAAGAUGUUCAUGGGUUCUGUGUUU
Molecule: long non-coding RNA, 2133 nt
Organism: Papaver somniferum (opium poppy)
Lineage: Eukaryota; Viridiplantae; Streptophyta; Magnoliopsida; Ranunculales; Papaveraceae
Exons: 4
Source: RefSeq, a predicted model, not a curated record